Non-coding RNA from Oryza sativa Japonica Group (Japanese rice), 1078 nucleotides. The record is from RefSeq and is a predicted model, not a curated record. Lineage: Eukaryota; Viridiplantae; Streptophyta; Magnoliopsida; Poales; Poaceae.
GCCGCGCGCAACUAGGAGAAAGGGUGGUGGGUGCGCUGUGGGACGAAUGGCUUCUCCCUCGUUCCCAGGCGCGUGCACCGACCUCCGCAUCCCGGAUUCGCCCUCUCCCGUGCCCUCGCCCUCGCCAUCACCCUCUUUCCCGCGCCCCCGCUCGCCCUCCUGCGCACUCGCUGCAUUCUAUUUCCCCUACCCGCGCCCGCAGUCGCCCUCCCACGCGUGCCAUAAUUUUGCCCCCCUCCCGUGCUCGCCCUCGGUCACAAACUCACCAUUGCCCUCCCUCUCGCAGCAACCGGCCUCUUCGCCCAUCGCCGGGGUACUCGCUGCGGACGGAGGUUGCGAUGGAUCCAAGCAUGGCUGCUGCAUUCGCUCAUUUUUUGCAAGGUCCGAACUUAGUGGCUAGUUUAUCUCAAUCUGCCAGCCAGCCUUCUCCUUUCCCCUCACACCCGGUGAUCCCAUUCCAACCUCCAUCGUUUUCCCCCUUCUGUACGCAGCCGCCGGGCCCGCCAGCUCCACCUCCAUCGCCCCCAAACACAGCCAAGGCAAAGCCUUCGAGCUCCAGAUCUGCACGCCGUCACCGUGUGACUGCUUCCCCAGAAGCUGCUGUUGAUCCUAAGAGGAAAAUGUACUAUCAACAGAGGAGGAUAUAAGGCUGCACGCCAUGAUCCAUUGGAAUCGCCACCGAGGAGGACAGGAAAAGACAGAGCGCCAUAAUUAUUGAUUUUCAUAUAUAGGAAAAAACUUCAGUGUCCCCUUACCAUAGUUAGUGAUCCAUGUGUCAAUUGCUCUGCACCAAAUCCACAGGGUGUAUUUCAAAGAAAAGGCUCCUUCCAUGUGCUUGUUGUGGCUGAUGGACGGAUGAUAACAAUUGGGAGCCGUGAGUUUUGUUCAUAUGCCAGCAUCUCACCCAUUGCUUUUGUGAACACAUAGGCAUUCGCCCAUCCAAACUUCUUAGCUCUAUUUAGUCAUCAUGCGACGGUUGUCUUAAUAAUGUUGUUCCUAAUGAUGUAUCACAUAAAAAGUACUAGAAGUCUAGCGAAUAGCAAUGAAUAAAAUUAUGUGUGAAACCUUUGUGCGCCUA